This 253-nucleotide ribosomal RNA is filed under the name uncultured bacterium. Its description in RNAcentral is "partial 16S ribosomal RNA". It matches the Rfam family "Bacterial small subunit ribosomal RNA", at positions 524 to 776 of the family's 1533-position model. The record is from RNAcentral.
UACGUAGGGACCAAGCGUUGUUCGGAUUUACUGGGCGUAAAGGGCGCGUAGGCGGCUUAACAAGUCACUUGUGAAAUCUCCGGGCUUAACUCGGAACGGCCAAGUGAAACUGUCAAGCUAGAGUGCAGAAGGGGCAAUCGGAAUUCUCGGUGUAGCGGUGAAAUGCGUAGAUAUCGAGAGGAACACCUGCGGCGAAGGCGGGUUGCUGGGCUGACACUGACGCUGAGGCGCGAAAGCUAGGGGAGCGAACGGG